UACGUAGGGUGCAAGCGUUGUCCGGAAUUAUUGGGCGUAAAGAGCUCGUAGGCGGUUUGUCGCGUCGAAUGUGAAAACCCGGGGCUCAACUCCGGGCCUGCAUUCGAUACGGGCAGACUAGAGUUCGGUAGGGGAGACUGGAAUUCCUGGUGUAGCGGUGAAAUGCGCAGAUAUCAGGAGGAACACCGGUGGCGAAGGCGGGUCUCUGGGCAGUAACUGACGCUGAGGAGCGAAAGCGUGGGGAGCGAACAGG
RNAcentral lists this ribosomal RNA (253 nucleotides) under uncultured bacterium. RNAcentral describes it as "partial 16S ribosomal RNA". It matches the Rfam family "Bacterial small subunit ribosomal RNA", at positions 524 to 776 of the family's 1533-position model. The record is from RNAcentral.